This 500-nucleotide ribosomal RNA is filed under the name uncultured bacterium. Its description in RNAcentral is "partial 16S ribosomal RNA". It matches the Rfam family "Bacterial small subunit ribosomal RNA", at positions 29 to 523 of the family's 1533-position model. The record is from RNAcentral.
AUUGAACGCUGGCGGCAUGCCUUACACAUGCAAGUCGAACGGCAGCACGGGAGCAAUCCUGGUGGCGAGUGGCGAACGGGUGAGUAAAGUAUCGGAACGUGCCCAGUCGUGGGGGAUAACGUAGCGAAAGUUACGCUAAUACCGCAUACGAGCUAUGGAUGGAAGCGGGGGAUCGCAAGACCUCGCGCGAUUGGAGCGGCCGAUAUCAGAUUAGGUAGUUGGUGGGGUAAAGGAUCACCAAGCCGACGAUCUGUAGCUGGGCUGAGAGGACGACCAGCCACACUGGGACUGAGACACGGCCCAGACUCCUACGGGAGGCAGCAGUGGGGAAUUUUGGACAAUGGGCGAAAGCCUGAUCCAGCCAUGCCGCGUGCAGGAUGAAGGCCUUCGGGUUGUAAACUGCUUUUGUACGGAACGAAAAGGUUUGGCCUAAUAAGCUGAGCUCAUGACGGUACCGUAAGAAUGAGCACCGGCUAACUACGUGCCAGCAGCCGCCGCCG